GGACGUUCAGCGCGUCGGGUGAGUCGCUUCUUUCUCAUCGCUACAGUCUUUGAUUUUUUUCCCUGGUUUUAAUGCAUUAGAAAAGUUUGUUCUGAAGUAAGAAGUAUUGUAUUGCAGUGUAUACGUGACCCCGGAGCACAAAUCCAGUCUUAAGUCGCUGGAGUAGAUUAUAACCAAAAAUACACUGUACGGAUCAAAAUGAAUGAAUUUUCUUUAAAGCCAAAAAUCAUGAGGAUAUUCAGUAAAGAUCAUGUUCUAUGAAUAUAUUCUGUAAAUGUCCUAAUGUAAAUAUAACUAAACUUAACUUUUAAUUAAUAAUAUGCAUUUCUAAAACUUAAUUUGGACAACUUUAAAGGCGAUUUUUCUCAAAUUUUAAUUUUUUUACAUUUAUCAGAAUAGUAUCUCAGUCACAUAUUGUCCUGUCCAUCAAACCAUAGAUCAAUAGAAAGCUGAUUAAUUUAACACACAUUUUACCUUUAUGACUGUUUUGAGGUCCAGCUUCACAUAUGGACUAAAAUUAUGUUUAUAAUAUGGUCUGCCCUGUAUGGUUUUAUGUAUAUUUUCAUUUUCACACAGACUCCAGCGACGCAGAUUUAAAGGAUAAGAAGGAGAAGUAAAUCUGGAGCUGGAAGGAUUUUAAGGCUGAAGAAAGAGCAGUGAUCUUAUAAAGAAUAGUUCAGUUUCAGUCCUUGCUUAAAAACCUCAGGCUGCUGUACAUGUGCUCGGGUUGGUUUUUCUGUGCAAGUUUAUUUUAAUUUAAAGAUUUUUAAUGUCCCUUGCAGAAAACCGUGAUUUUGUCAUGUAAAAUGUUAACUGGUUGUAUUAUAAAUUCUUCAGGUUUUGAGCUUUGUUAAACAGAACGUGGUUGACGUAAACUAGGAUGUUACCUGCCUUUGUCUCUUCACCUCUAAAGAUGGAGAAAGGAGUCAGGAAGCAGAUUAUUCAUCUCUUACUUUGUGUUAUAAACAGAUGAAAUACAGAGGAUAUGUC
Long non-coding RNA from Puntigrus tetrazona (Sumatra barb), 990 nucleotides. RefSeq lists it as uncharacterized. The transcript has 2 exons. Lineage: Eukaryota; Metazoa; Chordata; Actinopteri; Cypriniformes; Cyprinidae. The record is from RefSeq and is a predicted model, not a curated record.